RNAcentral lists this transfer RNA (69 nucleotides) under Limnonectes bannaensis (large-headed frog). Its description in RNAcentral is "tRNA-Asp". It matches the Rfam family "tRNA". From Rfam's summary of the family: Transfer RNA (tRNA) molecules are approximately 80 nucleotides in length. Their secondary structure includes four short double-helical elements and three loops (D, anti-codon, and T loops). The record is from RNAcentral. Lineage: Eukaryota; Metazoa; Chordata; Amphibia; Anura; Dicroglossidae.
GAGAAAUUAGUUAAAAUAUAACCCCACCUUGUCAAGGUGAAAUUACUGGUUGAACCCCAGUAUUCCUCA